This is a long non-coding RNA of Poecilia latipinna (sailfin molly), 2327 nucleotides long. RefSeq lists it as uncharacterized. The record is from RefSeq and is a predicted model, not a curated record. The transcript has 2 exons. Lineage: Eukaryota; Metazoa; Chordata; Actinopteri; Cyprinodontiformes; Poeciliidae.
ACCACAGCAGCUGGAGGUGGAGCAGAUGAUGGAGUUCUGGUCCAAAAUCAAACCGAGUCUACCGGACCAUCAGGGACAAAAACACCAAGCCGUUCUCGUUUAAAAGCUCGUUUCCACGUGACGCCGGUACUGAAGACCAACAACCACCCACUGAUUGAAAACUCAAGUUUUCUCUUUAACAGACAUAUUUCCUGCCACACAAACUUGAAUUUCACCACCUCCUGUUGACUUCUUUAACAUCCGUCACGUCUCUGACAAGUUGUUGUGGAAGUUGCUUUUACCCCCGCGGAUCCGUGUUUUCAUACUGCCCCGGUGGCUCUUGCAUCACUUAUUACCACUUGAAAAAUCGCUGAGAGAGAGAGAGGUGGAGAAUGAGGAAGAGGAGGGGUGGAGCGCUGCAUCUCUUCAUCGCAGGAUUUUAUGUGACUGUUUGGACAGAUUGGUAGAAUUGAAAAUGCAGCCGGGUGAUGUGUGAUGUGGCAAUAAAGCGUUUGCUUUGAUCCCGCCUCACAUGCGCGCGUCGCAAUCAAUUAGGAGCGACCGCGCAGCAAACCUUUGCAUCACCUUCGUUUACCAACGCCCUGGUUAUUAUUCUCACUGUCAACUCGUUGUGUACGCCUUCACCUGCGUACACAACAAACUUGAGGAUGAACUGGUACACAAAUAGAAGCUACAUCUUAGCCGUCAGAAACAUGCUUACAUCCUCGCCGCAGCUGUCAAUUACCUACAAAAAAACGUCUUUGAUAAGGAAAAUCUGAAGCCCCCUGUUCCCCACCUCCCUGCUCUUGGAGUGGCUUUUUCAGAUGUCAUAGCACUUAUGAGAAAUUUGUGACAGCAUCAACAGCGCCUAUUCCCCAUUCAGCAGCAUUAACUCUGUGCCAUGUGUCUAACAAACGGAGGCCAUUCUGGAGCCCUUAAUGACAAGGCUGCUUCGCUCCUCUCCUCUCCCCCUCGCUCUUUUCAAAUUGCUCUCUAAAUGAAGUACAGCUGUGCGGACCAGGUGCUGCCAUCCCCCUUUUCAGAAAGAACAGGAAAUUAUGAAAUCCCCAAAUCCUUCACAAAUGGCGGGCAGGAGGGAAGGUUGGAGCGCGACGGCUCGGCUUGGUCUGUAGAUGCGUCUAUUUCCUCGAACUCGUCACUUAGCGCUGUUGGGUCGCACAACAAGACGCGCCUCAUGACUUCGAGCAGCUAAAGUAUUUUUGUUUCUAGACUAGAGUAACUUUUCAGCAGGAUCUCGACUCUUUGCAGGUGAUUUACGCUCCUCAGAAAGCGGUUCACUCCGCAGCUCCUGUUGGUCGCCUUAUUCUGUGGAUUUCAUUGCAGAAAUAAUCACAGGGAUGAAGAUACAAACCAAACUUGUCGUUUGUUGUGAAUCUUUUGGUGAAGAAGGACAAAUGUCCAUGAUGGCGGUCGUGUUAUGCAUUUUUCUGAGUCCUGGAUCGUUUUGACGGAUCUUGUUUUUCUUUAACAUGAAUAAAUCAUGCCAAGUCAGUAAUACUUGGCAUGAUUUUGUGUUUUUGCAGUAUGAAUGUUGUUUUUGGUUAUGUUUUGAAGGGAUUCAGUAAUUUGAACACAUUUCUUUGAGGUUAAAUAAAAACCAAGAACUCGUCGACCUUGCAGUCCAGUUUUCUCACCUCUUGCCCUAAAAUGCGCGGCGCCAACCGAACCCGUCCAACAUUUAGAGCUCUGUGUUUGUUUUCUGCAUUCUAGACAACAGAAAGAGCUCAACUGCUGAAGUAGGCCUCCUGCUCAAGAGACUGUCAAUGCACAGCUGUCAAUGUCUCCAUAAAGCCCCAUAUCCAUAAUAGACAAAGCCCUCAUCAAGCCUCAGCUUCAUCUGGCCUCCCAGAUGCCCCAUCACCGGGGGCAAAUCCCAUCCAGGCCCGCGCGGCGCACCACGCAGCCAGAUGUGAGCUGGCAACAUGGCCGUGGGGUCAACACAUGGCAAAGUUUCCUGCCUCCUCCACCUCCUUCUCCUCUUUUUUGCUCCUGGCGUCGCUGAAGAGGAGCAACCAGCGCCGUUUUCUUCCUCAGGACUGUCCUCCUCAUGCUGAACACAGAUGGUUAUUAUGGAGCUGCACAUAAAUUGAUUAUGUUGGAAAUUAACUGUUGCUGUCAAAGGCAGCCGCCAACCUGUCCCAGUGUGUCCCUGUGCCCGCUGAUGCAUAGGAUCCAGCUGAUGGACCAGAUGUUUGCACAGUGCGCCUCUCUUUUUAAGGUCAGCACAAAAGUGGUAUGGGGCCUCUCUGAUCUCUGUGUCUUUGUACUUUCUGUCAGUGUCCUCCUGACAUUUUGAGAGUAAAAUGGAUGUUUUUGAACAUUUUGAU